RNAcentral lists this ribosomal RNA (2834 nucleotides) under Staphylococcus aureus. RNAcentral's name for it is "bacterial LSU rRNA". It matches the Rfam family "Bacterial large subunit ribosomal RNA". Lineage: Bacteria; Bacillati; Bacillota; Bacilli; Caryophanales; Staphylococcaceae. The record is from RNAcentral.
GAUUAAGUUAUUAAGGGCGCACGGUGGAUGCCUUGGCACUAGAAGCCGAUGAAGGACGUUACUAACGACGAUAUGCUUUGGGGAGCUGUAAGUAAGCUUUGAUCCAGAGAUUUCCGAAUGGGGAAACCCAGCAUGAGUUAUGUCAUGUUAUCGAUAUGUGAAUACAUAGCAUAUCAGAAGGCACACCCGGAGAACUGAAACAUCUUAGUACCCGGAGGAAGAAAAAGAAAAUUCGAUUCCCUUAGUAGCGGCGAGCGAAACGGGAAGAGCCCAAACCAACAAGCUUGCUUGUUGGGGUUGUAGGACACUCUAUACGGAGUUACAAAGGACGACAUUAGACGAAUCAUCUGGAAAGAUGAAUCAAAGAAGGUAAUAAUCCUGUAGUCGAAAAUGUUGUCUCUCUUGAGUGGAUCCUGAGUACGACGGAGCACGUGAAAUUCCGUCGGAAUCUGGGAGGACCAUCUCCUAAGGCUAAAUACUCUCUAGUGACCGAUAGUGAACCAGUACCGUGAGGGAAAGGUGAAAAGCACCCCGGAAGGGGAGUGAAAUAGAACCUGAAACCGUGUGCUUACAAGUAGUCAGAGCCCGUUAAUGGGUGAUGGCGUGCCUUUUGUAGAAUGAACCGGCGAGUUACGAUUUGAUGCAAGGUUAAGCAGUAAAUGUGGAGCCGUAGCGAAAGCGAGUCUGAAUAGGGCGUUUAGUAUUUGGUCGUAGACCCGAAACCAGGUGAUCUACCCUUGGUCAGGUUGAAGUUCAGGUAACACUGAAUGGAGGACCGAACCGACUUACGUUGAAAAGUGAGCGGAUGAACUGAGGGUAGCGGAGAAAUUCCAAUCGAACCUGGAGAUAGCUGGUUCUCUCCGAAAUAGCUUUAGGGCUAGCCUCAAGUGAUGAUUAUUGGAGGUAGAGCACUGUUUGGACGAGGGGCCCCUCUCGGGUUACCGAAUUCAGACAAACUCCGAAUGCCAAUUAAUUUAACUUGGGAGUCAGAACAUGGGUGAUAAGGUCCGUGUUCGAAAGGGAAACAGCCCAGACCACCAGCUAAGGUCCCAAAAUAUAUGUUAAGUGGAAAAGGAUGUGGCGUUGCCCAGACAACUAGGAUGUUGGCUUAGAAGCAGCCAUCAUUUAAAGAGUGCGUAAUAGCUCACUAGUCGAGUGACACUGCGCCGAAAAUGUACCGGGGCUAAACAUAUUACCGAAGCUGUGGAUUGUCCUUUGGACAAUGGUAGGAGAGCGUUCUAAGGGCGUUGAAGCAUGAUCGUAAGGACAUGUGGAGCGCUUAGAAGUGAGAAUGCCGGUGUGAGUAGCGAAAGACGGGUGAGAAUCCCGUCCACCGAUUGACUAAGGUUUCCAGAGGAAGGCUCGUCCGCUCUGGGUUAGUCGGGUCCUAAGCUGAGGCCGACAGGCGUAGGCGAUGGAUAACAGGUUGAUAUUCCUGUACCACCUAUAAUCGUUUUAAUCGAUGGGGGGACGCAGUAGGAUAGGCGAAGCGUGCGAUUGGAUUGCACGUCUAAGCAGUAAGGCUGAGUAUUAGGCAAAUCCGGUACUCGUUAAGGCUGAGCUGUGAUGGGGAGAAGACAUUGAGUCUUCGAGUCGUUGAUUUCACACUGCCGAGAAAAGCCUCUAGAUAGAAAAUAGGUGCCCGUACCGCAAACCGACACAGGUAGUCAAGAUGAGAAUUCUAAGGUGAGCGAGCGAACUCUCGUUAAGGAACUCGGCAAAAUGACCCCGUAACUUCGGGAGAAGGGGUGCUCUUUAGGGUUAACGCCCAGAAGAGCCGCAGUGAAUAGGCCCAAGCGACUGUUUAUCAAAAACACAGGUCUCUGCUAAACCGUAAGGUGAUGUAUAGGGGCUGACGCCUGCCCGGUGCUGGAAGGUUAAGAGGAGUGGUUAGCUUCUGCGAAGCUACGAAUCGAAGCCCCAGUAAACGGCGGCCGUAACUAUAACGGUCCUAAGGUAGCGAAAUUCCUUGUCGGGUAAGUUCCGACCCGCACGAAAGGCGUAACGAUUUGGGCACUGUCUCAACGAGAGACUCGGUGAAAUCAUAGUACCUGUGAAGAUGCAGGUUACCCGCGACAGGACGGAAAGACCCCGUGGAGCUUUACUGUAGCCUGAUAUUGAAAUUCGGCACAGCUUGUACAGGAUAGGUAGGAGCCUUUGAAACGUGAGCGCUAGCUUACGUGGAGGCGCUGGUGGGAUACUACCCUAGCUGUGUUGGCUUUCUAACCCGCACCACUUAUCGUGGUGGGAGACAGUGUCAGGCGGGCAGUUUGACUGGGGCGGUCGCCUCCUAAAAGGUAACGGAGGCGCUCAAAGGUUCCCUCAGAAUGGUUGGAAAUCAUUCAUAGAGUGUAAAGGCAUAAGGGAGCUUGACUGCGAGACCUACAAGUCGAGCAGGGUCGAAAGACGGACUUAGUGAUCCGGUGGUUCCGCAUGGAAGGGCCAUCGCUCAACGGAUAAAAGCUACCCCGGGGAUAACAGGCUUAUCUCCCCCAAGAGUUCACAUCGACGGGGAGGUUUGGCACCUCGAUGUCGGCUCAUCGCAUCCUGGGGCUGUAGUCGGUCCCAAGGGUUGGGCUGUUCGCCCAUUAAAGCGGUACGCGAGCUGGGUUCAGAACGUCGUGAGACAGUUCGGUCCCUAUCCGUCGUGGGCGUAGGAAAUUUGAGAGGAGCUGUCCUUAGUACGAGAGGACCGGGAUGGACAUACCUCUGGUGUACCAGUUGUCGUGCCAACGGCAUAGCUGGGUAGCUAUGUGUGGACGGGAUAAGUGCUGAAAGCAUCUAAGCAUGAAGCCCCCCUCAAGAUGAGAUUUCCCAACUUCGGUUAUAAGAUC